UCCAUGAUCCUUGUGCGCCAUCCUUCCAGUGAUGAGUCCUCCAAGAACUAGUACACGCUAUUACAUCUAAUAGCUAGUAAAGAAUAUUACAUAGUUGCUUGGAUCAUCACAGAUUAGCACGUAGGCCAUUUAAUUACAUUAAGGUGACAAUACAUAUGGCUCCAGCCAUAUUACUGUACGCGUGACACGUAGGUCUAGGUCAUGAAUCAGUUACACACAUG
This 221-nucleotide long non-coding RNA is filed under the name Setaria italica (foxtail millet). Its description in RNAcentral is "long non-coding RNA (SITA_LNC005903)". The record is from RNAcentral. Lineage: Eukaryota; Viridiplantae; Streptophyta; Magnoliopsida; Poales; Poaceae.